Tripterygium wilfordii is the source of this 1771-nucleotide long non-coding RNA. RefSeq lists it as uncharacterized. The transcript is spliced from 2 exons. The record is from RefSeq and is a predicted model, not a curated record. Lineage: Eukaryota; Viridiplantae; Streptophyta; Magnoliopsida; Celastrales; Celastraceae.
UCUCUCCUCUCACACGAGCCACCUCCCCCUUACUGGCCAACACAGGAACUCCAUCUUCCGGCCACCGUUUUGGACGGCCAACCUAUCAAAAAGCUUCUCCCGACCCCCAAGAACAUAAUCCAACCAACCUUACCUCAAACCGUCGCUCGUAGUCACCGGAAUCGAGCUUGGAAGCUCACGGCCACUGUGAAGAAAAAACUCCGAUUCGGCCAACUCCGGCGAUGGUUCAACAUGCCGUUACCACCAUUCACCUCACCGGGUUGAGGAGCACCUAGCCCAACCAAUUUCGGUCCAAAACAGCCCCCGGAUGCCGGAGAUUCGACUUUGACCCGAAUGGGGUCCUUUUGACCCGACUUUGAUCCAGCUGAAACUGAACUUUCCGGCAAUCCCAAAGCUGUAUUCCGAGUUGUUUUCCUGCUCUGAACGCGUCGGUGAUGAUUUUGGAUCCAUACGGACAUCUUUGGAGCAUCCCGAGAGAUACAUCACAAAUACGCGUAUACGUACGAUAUACGUCGAGGUGUAUUGGUAUAGGUGAUCAAGGAGUUGGACUCGACACUGUAGACGGUGAAUUAUUUUAUGCACUGCUAUCGAGGUAGGAUUUCUCACUCUUUUGUUUCGAAACACCUUCAAGCCACCGAAUUGUUUGAAUGGUAAGCUUUGGUUUUCGCCUCAAUCAUUUCUGAGGGGAAACAAGCCUUGCAUGCUUACCAUUAUUUCUUUGUAUUAUUGUCAAUGACAAUGUUAUUGGUGAUUUAAUUUGUUAAAUAUAUAUAACGCUUGAAAUGCUUGGUCAUAAAUUGGGCAUUACGUGAUUCUUCAUGCAUCAUGAUGAAUGAAUGUUUCUGUAUAUAUUUGUUGCACGAAUGACAUGAAUUCUAAGAAUUUACAUUAGAUGCAUGGUGGGUCCCAAGGAUGGUCUCGGGCUCACGUUAGGUGAUGGAUGUUGAUAGAGCACGUGCAUCGAUGAUGGAUAGGAGCCUUGUGAUGGUCCUAAUCCAUAGGAUUCCUAUAGCGAUAUUUAUUACUGCACGCUGGCUAGUUGUCCUACGCUAGGCCAGGCGUGGCAGGCUGAGAUAUCACUGUUGGGCCAGCAAUGAGUGGUUGCGACCACAUACGUGCCAACCUUCUCUCUAGCGGUUUGAGAUUGACAUGAUAGAUGACUGGUAUUCUGGUUAUUGGUUUUGGUUGGAUGCUUGAGAGAGAGGUAGAGCGGAUGGAUUCUCAUCGGCUUAUCGACGUAGGGCGGGAAUCUGAUUCGUCGGCUUUGGUGUCAUUGGAUGCGGAUAUGGAGGUUUGGUUAGAUCGAUCGGGUGCAUUAGUUUGCAUUGCAUAUUGUUGCAUCGAUUACGCGUUGUUACUUUUUCAGCCUUAAUAUUCUUUUCUUGCAUUCUAUCAUUUUGUCCCUACUGAGCCUUCUGCUCACCCUAUCUACUUUGCCUCCCCACAGGUGAGACAUGAUCUAAUGCACAAACCGCGAAUCAGUAGGAGGGCGCAUGACGGAGGAGGCCUAAACUUUUGAUUAUUAUUUGGUGUUUAUAUGACACAUGUGUGUGGAUAUAUAUGUAUGGCAGGAAGUUGGCAUGUUUUAGUUGUUUAAGUACAUUGAUGUACUAGGGUGAUGACUGGUUGAUGUAUGGUUUUAUUGGGUUGGCCGGGAGUGGUGUCCCGUGACUUUUGUGUGUUUGAUGAUGAAGAUGAGAUAUGUGUUUGAUGGUGGACCUGAUGGUUGGUUGACUUUGAUGGUAUUAGAAGUGUUUUCUUUGUUUGGGUA